UACGUAGGUGGCGAGCGUUGUCCGGAUUUACUGGGCGUAAAGAGCGCGCAGGCGGUCGUACAAGUCGCGUGUGAAAGCCCCCGGCUCAACUGGGGAGGGUCACGCGAUACUGUUCGACUCGAAGGCAGGAGAGGGAAGUGGAAUUCCCGGUGUAGUGGUGAAAUGCGCAGAUAUCAGGAGGAACACCGGUGGCGAAGGCGGGUCUCUGGGCAGUAACUGACGCUGAGGAGCGAAAGCGUGGGGAGCGAACAGG
This 253-nucleotide ribosomal RNA is filed under the name uncultured bacterium. RNAcentral's name for it is "partial 16S ribosomal RNA". It matches the Rfam family "Bacterial small subunit ribosomal RNA", at positions 524 to 776 of the family's 1533-position model. The record is from RNAcentral.